RNAcentral lists this unclassified non-coding RNA (145 nucleotides) under soil metagenome. Its description in RNAcentral is "partial internal transcribed spacer 1". The record is from RNAcentral.
UAAUAAGUGUUUUAUGGCACUUUUUAAAUCCAUAUCCACCUUGUGUGCAAUGUCAGUCGAUCUUCUUCAUGGAGAUCGACCAAACAUCAACCUUUAUUUUUUAACUCUUUGUCUGAAAAAUAUUAUGAAUAAACAAUUCAAACUA